ACGCUCGACACCUACGGGAAGCAGCAGUGGGGAAUAUUGCACAAUGGGGGAAACCCUGAUGCAGCGACGCCGCGUGAGCGAAGAAGUAUUUCGGUAUGUAAAGCUCUAUCAGCAGGGAAGAAACUGACGGUACCUGACUAAGAAGCACCGGCUAAAUACGUGCAGCAGCCGCGGUAAUCUGAGCGGGCUGGCAAGGC
Molecule: ribosomal RNA, 197 nt
Filed under: uncultured bacterium
Lineage: Bacteria
Description: partial 16S ribosomal RNA
Rfam family: Bacterial small subunit ribosomal RNA
Source: RNAcentral